AGAACGAACGCUGGCGGCAUGCCUAAUACAUGCAAGUCGAACGAACUCUUCGGAGUUAGUGGCGCACGGGUGCGUAACGCGUGGGAAUCUGCCCCUUGGUUCGGAAUAACAGUUGGAAACGACUGCUAAUACCGGAUGAUGACGAAAGUCCAAAGAUUUAUCGCCAAGGGAUGAGCCCGCGUAGGAUUAGCUAGUUGGUGAGGUAAAGGCUCACCAAGGCAACGAUCCUUAGCUGGUCUGAGAGGAUGAUCAGCCACACUGGGACUGAGACACGGCCCAGACUCCUACGGGAGGCAGCAGUAGGGAAUAUUGGACAAUGGGCGAAAGCCUGAUCAACAAAUGCCGCGUGAGUGAUGAAGGCCUUAGGGUUGUAAAGCUCUUUUACCCGAGAUGAUAAUGACAGUAUCGGGAGAAUAAGCCCCGGCUAAACUCCGUGCCAAGCAGCCGAC
This 449-nucleotide ribosomal RNA is filed under the name uncultured soil bacterium. RNAcentral's name for it is "bacterial SSU rRNA". It matches the Rfam family "Bacterial small subunit ribosomal RNA", at positions 26 to 518 of the family's 1533-position model. The record is from RNAcentral.